This 460-nucleotide ribosomal RNA is filed under the name uncultured bacterium. RNAcentral describes it as "partial 16S ribosomal RNA". It matches the Rfam family "Bacterial small subunit ribosomal RNA", at positions 338 to 795 of the family's 1533-position model. The record is from RNAcentral.
CCUACGGGUGGCUGCAGUGAGGAAUAUUGGUCAAUGGACGAGAGUCUGAACCAGCCAAGUAGCGUGAAGGAUGACUGCCCUAUGGGCUGUAAACUUCUUUUAUAUGGGAAUAAAAUGUUCCACGUGUGGGAUUUUGUAUGUACCAUAUGAAUAAGGAUCGGCUAACUCCGUGCCAGCAGCCGCGGUCAUACGGAGGAUCCGAGCGUUAUCCGGAUUUAUUGGGUUUAAAGGGAGCGUAGGUGGAUUUGUAAGUCAGUUGUGAAAGUUUGCGGCUCAACCGUAAAAUUGCAGUUGAAACUGGCAGUCUUGAGUACAGUAGAGGUGAGCGGAAUUCGUGGUGUAGCGGUGAAAUGCUUAGAUAUCACGAAGAACUCCGAUUGCGAAGGCAGUUCACUGGACUGCAACUGACACUGAGGCUCGAAAGUGUGGGUAUCAAACAGGAUUAGAUACCCUAGUAGUC